Molecule: long non-coding RNA, 463 nt
Organism: Canis lupus familiaris (dog)
Lineage: Eukaryota; Metazoa; Chordata; Mammalia; Carnivora; Canidae
Exons: 4
Source: RefSeq, a predicted model, not a curated record
GUUUCAUUAUGAAAGCAGACAGACACAACUACUUUAAAACUACAGAGAGAGUAUAUUAAAGAACAAAAGAACACACGAGGCAAAUACUAGUAUUGGCCCAUACAGCUAAGGACCAAGAAAGAGAAGUAAGCAAAAUGAAGUCAAAGAGCUGUUAUCAACAAAGGCAUGACUCAUUCCAGAUGUUCUGAGGGAAGCCUGCUGAUAUGUUGUGUGCUGGUUGAAGAAAAGGUUUAUGUGGCAAGAAACUGGCAUCACUGGCCAAUGGCUAUCAAGGGACCAAGGCCUACCAGCAGCCAUGUGAAUAAGCUUGGAUGUGAUUUCUCCACCAGUGAAGUAUUAUGAUACUUGCAACACCAAUAGCACCUUAACUGCAGCCUUGUGAGAGAUCCUAACCCAGCAAUAAGCCCUACUAAGGCACACCCAGAUUCCUAAGCUUCAGGAAUUAUGAGAUACUAAAUGUUUA